GCAGUCGAGCGGACCGACGGGAGCUUGCUCCCUUAGGUCAGCGGCGGACGGGUGAGUAACACGUGGGUAACCUGCCUGUAAGACUGGGAUAACUCCGGGAAACCGGGGCUAAUACCGGAUGCUUCAUUGAACCGCAUGGUUCAAUGAUAAAAGGUGGCUUUUAGCUACCACUUACAGAUGGACCCGCGGCGCAUUAGCUAGUUGGUGAGGUAACGGCUCACCAAGGCAACGAUGCGUAGCCGACCUGAGAGGGUGAUCGGCCACACUGGGACUGAGACACGGCCCAGACUCCUACGGGAGGCAGCAGUAGGGAAUCUUCCGCAAUGGACGAAAGUCUGACGGAGCAACGCCGCGUGAGUGAUGAAGGUUUUCGGAUCGUAAAACUCUGUUGUUAGGGAAGAACAAGUACCGUUCGAAUAGGGCGGUACCUUGACGGUACCUAACCAGAAAGCCACGGCUAACUACGUGCC
This 470-nucleotide ribosomal RNA is filed under the name Bacillus haynesii. Its description in RNAcentral is "bacterial SSU rRNA". It matches the Rfam family "Bacterial small subunit ribosomal RNA", at positions 57 to 509 of the family's 1533-position model. Lineage: Bacteria; Bacillati; Bacillota; Bacilli; Caryophanales; Bacillaceae. The record is from RNAcentral.